UACGGAGGGUGCAAGCGUUAUCCGGAUUCACUGGGUUUAAAGGGUGCGUAGGUGGGCAGGUAAGUCAGUGGUGAAAUCUCCGGGCUUAACCCGGAAACUGCCAUUGAUACUAUCUGUCUUGAAUACCGUGGAGGUGAGCGGAAUAUGUCAUGUAGCGGUGAAAUGCUUAGAUAUGACAUAGGACACCAAUUGCGAAGGCAGCUCACUACACGAAUAUUGACACUGAGGCACGAAAGCGUGGGGAUCAAACAGG
Molecule: ribosomal RNA, 253 nt
Filed under: uncultured bacterium
Lineage: Bacteria
Description: partial 16S ribosomal RNA
Rfam family: Bacterial small subunit ribosomal RNA
Source: RNAcentral